Molecule: long non-coding RNA, 2551 nt
Organism: Mercenaria mercenaria
Lineage: Eukaryota; Metazoa; Mollusca; Bivalvia; Venerida; Veneridae
Exons: 5
Source: RefSeq, a predicted model, not a curated record
AAAGUGUUAGUUUAUACAAAAUGAAAAUACUGUUAGACAAUCGUCACUUACGAAUUUAAAACCAAAAGAUACUCUGGACAGUAUAACUAUUUAAUUUACAUGAGCUUUUUUCAAGUGAACUUGAAUAUGUUUUUCGUUAAAGCAACGUUGCUAUUUUUUACCUUGGUAGUGCUCACAGAGGAAAGAGACAUGAGACGUUGCGAAAGCAAUCCGUGUAAGAAUGGAGGAAGUUGCAUCAAUAUUUCCAACCGCUACAUUUGUAGAUGUCCGUGGGUGUGAGGAGGUUCAACAUGCAAUACAGACAUGGGUUCUUGCAGAAGCAGCCCGUGUAAAAAUGGAGGAACAUGUAAAAAUAUUCCCAACGAUUUUAUUUGAGGAUGUCCAAAUGUUUGGGAAGGUUCAACAUGCAACAUAGCACGUGAUGUUGACUGCAAAGUCACACAGUGGUCAACGUGGUCCGAGUUGGGUCAAAAUGUCUGGGUUGGUCAACAGAGCAGAUCAAGAAGUAUCACGCAACAUCCUAAUGGAGCAGGAAGAAAGUGUCCGAACCUUAUUGAUUACAGACAUACGGCCUUGAAUUUUUGCGGAAGCUAUCCAUGCAAAAAUGGAGGAACAUGUAAAAAUUUUCCCGACGCACAUAUGUAUACUUGCACUUGGCAUGGAAAGUAAUUUCAGUAAUACUAACUAUAUGAAUGAUGUGUACAAUAACAAUAAUCAUUAUAAUGUGAGAAGAAACUUAAUUCAUCUAACUACUCAAUGUGGCGAUUCCAUACAUCUGUAAAUCAACUGAUAUUUUUUUUUUUUUUUUUUUUUUGAUUUAGUACUUAUGGUUUUCACUGUCAUUUUUAACAGAAAUAGUUGGAACAAACUAAAGUUUGACGUCUUAAAUGAAAAAAAAACUUCAUUGCUUCUUGGUAAAACCAUUCAUGUUACAGCUUUUUAUCCCUCGCCGAAGGCUACAAUGUUGGCAUUGUCCGUCCGUCCGUCUUUAUGUUCGUCCUUCCGGAGCAAUAUCUAGGAAUUGGCUGGGAAUAUUAAAAAAAUAAUUCAUAUACAUGUUCACCACUAUAGGGCCCGUCAAGUGUCAGUAAGAUUGCCCAAGUAACACUUCAGGUUUGGCCCUUAGAAGUUUAAAAUAUAUAGGAUAAAUAAAUAUGGCAAUUUCUGCUUCAUACCUUAUGACAUGUUUGACCUAGAACUAUGAAACUGAAAUUAAAUUUAGAUGACCAUAAUGUGGUAGUGCACGCACUAUUUCGUCAGGAUCUAUUUAGUGACUUCAAAGUUAUUGCCCUUUAAUUGUUUAAAAAUGCACGUAUUUGUACAUCACAAACUAACCAAUAGGUAGAAUUUACACCCCCCCCCCCACCCACUUUGUCCCUUUUUUUUUAAAUAAUCCAUUAUGUUUUUAAAAUUUCAAACCUUCUAUGAAUAAUUAUCAACGUGUGAAGUUGCAUGUAACCACGCCACCCCAUCCACCCCGCCACAACCCACGUUGCAGUUUUUUUACUUGAUUCGUUCUGUUCUUUUAAGUUCAAAUGUACAUGUUAAACAGCGACACUUGGUGCCAAACUACUCGAAUAAAUAGUUGGUUCUAGUUACUCUUCAGGCUCACCUUUUAAAUGAUUCCGUAUAAUUCUAAAAGCUAUUAAGUUAGUUCUGCACGUUUGGACCGAAAUUUUUUCUACAAUGUAGAAUUUUAUUAAACUCUGAUUUUUCAAAACUUAAGAAUAUACCUAGAAAAUUCAGCAAAUAAAAAAGAUAGGGUCGUGUGCUUGAUUUUUUGCUAGGCUGAUUUGAAAAAUUUGGACCUCGCGCAAUAUUUCAUAAUGGGAGUAUAUGGGAAAAUCAUAACUUUCAUAACAUUUUCGCGAAUAGAAAUUUUUCUACAAUGUAGAUUUGGGUGAAACUUCUCACAGUUGUAAAUAAAUACAUGGCCUGUAAUUUGGCGAAAUAAAAUACAUAGGUCCCUGUGCUUAUUUUUGAGAUAUUUGACCGUGAUUAAAGUGAACCGGACAUUUCACGCUAUUUUUAAGACAUUAUUUUGAAUUUUUAACGUGUCGUAUGUUUUAAUAUCAUAUUUUGCCUUUAGAAAUAUAGCAACAGUGCCAUUGUAAUAAAUUUACUCACAGGUUUCGAUUAUUUCAUAAAAUGAUUUUCAUUUCCGUACGCCGAAUCCAGGCUUUAUUCUACGUUUUCCGGAUAAAUGACGUUACACCAUCACUUCCGGUAUAUCAAACGUGCAGAACUACCUUAAGCUUAUAACAGUAAACAUAUUCCAUUCUUAGUAAUUUCAUUAGUCAGGAUCAACGUAACAUACAUUUAUCAUGUACUAUGUAACACUUAAAACAUUCGUUUUCUGUUAAAUUGAUCUUGACUAAUGAAAUUAUUUGCUUCUUAGAAAUAUUUUUAACUUUUUGCCGGAUAUAUUAUGUUUGCCAUUCCUCGCAACAAACCCUUUCGGCAUGGGAUACCAAUUCAUUGAAUGUGCUUGUUAAAAUUUUUAGUAACAUCAUUUCAUACUCUAUACAAUGAAGACUUAUUUUAAUUAUAA